CAGCAGCCGCGGGAAUACGUAGGUCCCGAGCGUUGUCCGGAUUUACUGGGCGUAAAGCGAGCGCAGGCGGUUAGAUAAGUCUGAAGUUAAAGGCUGUGGCUUAACCAUAGUACGCUUUGGAAACUGUUUAACUUGAGUGCAGAAGGGGAGAGUGGAAUUCCAUGUGUAGCGGUGAAAUGCGUAGAUAAAUGGAGGAACACCGGUGGCGAAAGCGGCUCUCUGGUCUGUAACUGACGCUGAGGCUCGAAAGCGUGGGGAGCGAACAGGAUUAGAUACCCCGGUAGUCCCUGUCUCUUAUACC
Molecule: ribosomal RNA, 301 nt
Filed under: uncultured bacterium
Lineage: Bacteria
Description: partial 16S ribosomal RNA
Rfam family: Bacterial small subunit ribosomal RNA
Source: RNAcentral